This 1033-nucleotide ribosomal RNA is filed under the name uncultured bacterium. RNAcentral's name for it is "bacterial SSU rRNA". It matches the Rfam family "Bacterial small subunit ribosomal RNA", at positions 336 to 1378 of the family's 1533-position model. The record is from RNAcentral.
CCUCCGGAGGGCAGCAGUGGGGAAUAUUGCCACAUUGGGCGAAAGCCUGAUGCAGGCGACGCCGCGUGAAGGGAUGACGGCCUUCGGGUGUAAACCUUCUUCAGUAGGGAGGAAGCGAAAGUGACGGUACUUGCAGAAGAAGCGCCGCUAACUACGUGCCAGCAGCCGCGGUAAUACGUAGGGCGCAAGCGUAUCCGGGAAUUAUUGGGCGUAAAGAAGCUCGUAGGCGGUUUGUCGCGUCUGCUGUGAAAGACCGGGGCUCAACUCCGGUUCUGCAGUGGGUACGGGCAGACUAGAGUGAUGUAGGGGAGACUGGAAUUCCUGGUGUAGCGGUGAAAUGCGCAGAUAUCAGGAGGAACACCGAUGGCGAAGGCAGGUCUCUGGGCAUUAACUGACGCUGAGGAGCGAAAGCAUGGGGAGCGAACAGGAUUAGAUACCCUGGUAGUCCAUGCCGUAAACGUUGGGCACUAGGUGUGGGGGACAUUCCACGUUUUCCGCGCCGUAGCUAACGCAUUAAGUGCCCCGCCUGGGGAGUACGGCCGCAAGGCUAAAACUCAAAGGAAUUGACGGGGGCCCGCACAAGCGGCGGAGCAUGCGGAUUAAUUCGAUGCAACGCGAAGAACCUUACCAAGGCUUGACAUGGACCGGACCGCCGCAGAAAUGUGGUUUCCCCUUUGGGGCCGGUUCACAGGUGGUGCAUGGCUGUCGUCAGCUCGUGUCGUGAGAUGUUGGGUUAAGUCCCGCAACGAGCGCAACCCUCGUUCUAUGUUGCCAGCACGUGAUGGUGGGGACUCAUAGGAGACUGCCGGGGUCAACUCGGAGGAAGGUGGGGACGACGUCAAAUCAUCAUGCCCCUUAUGUCUUGGGCUUCACGCAUGCUACAAUGGCCGGUACAAAGGGUUGCGAUACUGUGAGGUGGAGCUAAUCCCAAAAAGCCGGUCUCAGUUCGGAUUGGGGUCUGCAACUCGACCCCAUGAAGUCGGAGUCGCUAGUAAUCGCAGAUCAGCAACGCCGCGGUGAAUACGUUCCCGGG